AGUCUGGUGCCAGCAGCCGCGGUAAUUCCAGCUCCAAUAGCGUAUACUAAAGUUGUUGUGGUUAAAAAGCUCGUAGUUGGAUUUGUGGUGUGGGUUUUGCUGGUCCGGCGGCUGAUGUCGUUUCGUGUACCGGCGGCCCGCUGCCAUGCGGCGCUUCGGCGCCCAAUUACUGUGAACAAAUCGGAGCGUUCCAGGCAGACUAACGUCUUGAACACUUCAGCAUGGAAUAAUGCGAUAGGACUCGGGCCCUAUUUCGUUGGCUUUGUCGGCUUGAGUAAUGAUUGAUAGGGACAGUUGGGGGUGCUAGUACUCUGCGGCCAGCGGUGAAAUGCUGUGAUUCGCGGAAGACUGACUAGUGCGAAAGCAUUCACCAAGGAUGUCUUCUUUAAUCAAGAACGAAAGUUGGGGGAUCGAAAGUGAUCAGAUACCACUGUAGUCUCAACCAUAAACUAUGCCGACUGGGGAUGGGGGGGCGUUGUGUGGCACCUGUAAGAGGGUGCCUUCCGGACCCCCUCCGCACCCUGUGAGAAAUCAAAGUGUUUGGGUUCCGGGGGGAGUAUGGUCGCAAGACUGAAACUUAAAGGAAUUGACGGAAGGGCACCACCAGGAGUGGAGCCUGCGGCUUAAUUUGACCCAACACGGGAAAACUUACCCGGUCCAGACAUAGUGAGGAUUGACAGAUUGAAGCUCUUUCUUGAUUCUAUGGGUGGUGGUGCAUGGCCGUUCUUAGUUGGUGGAGUGAUUUGUCUGGUUAAUUCCGUUAACGAACGAGACCUCGGGGGGUUUGUUUGCGGUGGGUCGGGCGGCUUUGUUCCGUCCGGCGCGGAGUGCGCGAGCGCUCCCAAGUUCCACCCUCCCAACACGACCGCCGGAGCGAUCCGGAGGAGGUGCGAGGCAAUAACAGGUCUGUGAUGCCCUUCGAUGUCCGGGGCCGCACGUGCGCUACACUGGCGGGUGCAUGGAGCGUUGCCGCGUAUUUUUUGCGCGGGCCGUGGUCGGGAGGCCUCGGAAAUCUUGCAACGCCCGCCGUGAUGGGGAUCGGCCCUUGCAAUUGUGGGCCGUGAACGAGGAAUUCCUAGUAAGCGCGGGUCAUCAGCCCGCACUGAUUACGUCCCUGCCCUUUGUACACACCGCCCGUCGCUACUACCGAUUGGGUGUUAUGGUGAGUUGUUUGGAGUCUGUGCGGUGCUUUUUUGUGUCGCGUGGGUGAAGGACUGCGAGCCUGAACAUCUAGA
Molecule: ribosomal RNA, 1235 nt
Filed under: metagenome
Description: SSU rRNA
Rfam family: Eukaryotic small subunit ribosomal RNA
Source: RNAcentral